RNAcentral lists this long non-coding RNA (772 nucleotides) under Nicotiana tabacum (common tobacco). RNAcentral's name for it is "long non-coding RNA (NTAB_LNC007986)". The record is from RNAcentral. Lineage: Eukaryota; Viridiplantae; Streptophyta; Magnoliopsida; Solanales; Solanaceae.
AGCCCUGACGCAAAACAUGAACACAUGUAUAAUGACUUGCAAAGAAAGCCCUCUUCUUUACCGAUAUUCUAUGUUCAAGAUUUAUUAUGCAAACAAGAUCGAGUUCGACUGUUAGGCCUACGGGCUACUUUUAUUUCGAGUUCGAGCAAGCACUCACUCGACCAUUAAGCCUACGGGCUACAUUAUUUCGAGUUUGAAUCAUUCACUCGACUACGAAGCCUACGGGCUACUUUUAAUUCGAGUUCUAGCAAGCACUCAAUCGCCAUUACACCUACGGGCUACAUUAUUUCGAGUUCGAAUCAUUCACUCGACUACUAAGCCUACAGGCUACUUUUAAUUCGAGUUUGAGCAAGCACUCACUCGACCAUUACGCCUACGGGCUAUAUUAUUUUUAGUUCAAAUCAUUCACUCGACUACUAGGCCUACGGGCUACUUUUAAUUCGAGUUCGAGCAAGCACUCACUCGACAAUUACACCUACGGGCUAUAUUAUUUCGAGUUCGAAUCAUUCACUCGACUACUAAGCCUACGGGCUACUUUUAAUUCGAGUUCUAGCAAGCACUCACAAGCCAUUACUCCUACGGGCUACAUUAUUUCGAGUUUGAAUCAUUCACUCGACUACUAAGCCUACGGGCUACUUUUAAUUUGAGUUCGAGCAAGCACUCACUCGACAAUUACACCUACGGGCUACAUUAUUUCGAGUUCGAAUCAUUCACUCGACUACUAAGCCUACGGGCUACUUUUAAUUCGAGUUUUAGCAAGCACUCACUAUCC